RNAcentral lists this ribosomal RNA (463 nucleotides) under uncultured bacterium. Its description in RNAcentral is "partial 16S ribosomal RNA". It matches the Rfam family "Bacterial small subunit ribosomal RNA", at positions 28 to 507 of the family's 1533-position model. The record is from RNAcentral.
GAUGAACGCUGACAGAAUGCUUAACACAUGCAAGUCUUUGGCGAAGCUGUGCUCGCACAGCCUAGCCAAGGCGGACGGGUGAGUAACGCGUAAGGAACUUGCCCUGCAGUCAGGGAUAACAGACGGAAACGACUGAUAAGACCUGGUAAAGUCAGGCGGACUCAUGUCCAGCCUGAUGAAAAGAGAUGCUGCAGGAGAGCCUUGCGUCCUAUUAGCUUGUUGGUGGGGUAACGGCCCACCAAGGCGAUGAUAGGUAGCCGGCCUGAGAGGGUGGACGGCCACAAGGGGACUGAGAUACGGCCCUUACUCCUACGGGAGGCAGCAGUGAGGAAUAUUGGACAAUGGGGGCAACCCUGAUCCAGCAAUUCUGUGUGCACGAUGAAGGUUUUCGGAGUGUAAAGUGCUUUCAGCAGGGAAGAAAAAAAUGACGGUACCUGCAGAAGAAGCGACGGCUAAAUACGUG